This is a long non-coding RNA of Quercus robur (English oak), 435 nucleotides long. RefSeq lists it as uncharacterized. The transcript has 2 exons. Lineage: Eukaryota; Viridiplantae; Streptophyta; Magnoliopsida; Fagales; Fagaceae. The record is from RefSeq and is a predicted model, not a curated record.
CUUUCCAACAUCUAAUGGUAAGCCUCAAACUCUUGUUCUCAUUUCUCAGAGAUGGGACUCUCCGACUUGCUCCAAAAAUGGUAGUUUCUGAUUUCUUCAAAGAACCCAAACCAGCCAUUGAUGGCCUCAUUGGCAAUGCAAGGUUAAAUGCCAUGUUGAGAGAGAGAGAGAGAGAGAGAGAGAGAGGAAUUUGGUAUAGAGAGAGAGAGAGUGCUUAGGGAUCUAUAGGUGGGGGAAAUGACUGUUGCCCCCUUCUGCACAAGAUCAACAACCAUCUUCGCAUCUAACUCACGUGUUACAUUUGUUGCCUGCAUGUUACAUGACUCCUUUUGAGUUUUUGUUUGGUAAUGACUUUUAGUUGGCUUGCUUUUCCACUACUGUGGGUCCUUAGCUUGUUUUUGUCAGAAAUCACUACUUUGCAGGUCUUAUCCUCAA